RNAcentral lists this long non-coding RNA (205 nucleotides) under Homo sapiens (human). RNAcentral's name for it is "HSALNT0183710". Lineage: Eukaryota; Metazoa; Chordata; Mammalia; Primates; Hominidae. The record is from RNAcentral.
GGAAAUAAGACAUACUUCUCAUCCAGCUAGAGAAAGGACAGAAGGAAGCAGCAUUUUGGAAUGGAGACAACCACUAUGUGGGACAGUUUCACAACCAGGACAGUGUGUGUCCUGAGCAUGAAUCUGAGUACGCAAACGAGCAGCCAGACAUGGAGAGGCCAGGGUGCCAGAGAAGGACCAAGUGAGAAGGGCAUUCAGCCGAGGU